RNAcentral lists this ribosomal RNA (338 nucleotides) under uncultured Latescibacterota bacterium. Its description in RNAcentral is "bacterial SSU rRNA". It matches the Rfam family "Bacterial small subunit ribosomal RNA", at positions 29 to 351 of the family's 1533-position model. The record is from RNAcentral. Lineage: Bacteria; Pseudomonadati; Candidatus Latescibacterota.
AACGAACGCUGGCGGCGUGGAUUAGGCAUGCAAGUCGAACGAGAAAGUCCCCGCAAGGGGAUGAGUAAAGUGGCGAACGGGUGAGUAACACGUGGGGAACCUGCUUCCGACUGGGGGAUAACAGUCCUAACGGGCUGCUAAUACCGCAUGACGCCUUGGGUCGCAUGGCUCAAGGUUAAAGGAGGCCUCCGAUUCGAGCUUCCGGUUGGAAAUGGUCCCGCGUCCUAUUAGCUAGUUGGUAGGGUAACGGCCUACCAAGGCAACGAUGGGUAGCCGGCUUGAGAGAGUGGUCGGCCACACUGGGACUGAGAUACGGCCCAGACUCCUACGGGAGGCAG